UGAGAGGGAGAGACAGGGAGAGAGGAGGGGCAGUGAUUCUGCGUUCCUUAAUUUUGCAAAAUUAAUUUUAGCCAGGCUCAGGGAAGGCAGGGGUGAAAGCAGGAGAAUCCCUGUUCAUUCUGCCUGUCCUUACUGCAUAAACCCCCUGAAUUUUCUUGUGCACGAUAACCCUCAAGGACUGAAGCUGGGACUGGGAAAAACAGCUGCAUUGUGCUGCAGGCUCAAAUCCUGCCACAGCUAUAAUCUCUGGGACUCAAACAGGAUUCUGCAGAAGGCCAGGAUAAUAUUUAGUGUGAAUUAAAGGCACAUUUCUUUCAGGGUUAUGAAUCUGCUAUCUCCCUGGACGGGCACACAAAGGAGCUGGGAAGGAGUUUUAAAGGGAGAACCUCAAGGCUCAGGGAAGUGCUCAAGGUCACUCAGUGUUUAAAUUUUCCAGAACUGCUCAUUCUCAGUCCCUUCCUUUAGAGAAAGCUCUUGCUUAUCAGUGGCCUUCAAAAAAAUUGAGAGCUGUGUUUCCAGACAGAUUGUGUUUGUAUUCUGACACCUUCUUCAAGCAAAAAAGCUCUUCUUGAGCAAGCAAGCAUGGAGGGUUAGAAGGAGCUGCAACAUGGCUGCAAUGAGACUUUAUCAGCACCUAGAACAGAUUUGGAGUUUUUCAUGAGCCCACCACUGAAAAAACCCAAAUAUUUCCACAUGCUGAGGCCCUGUGUGAUAGCUGACCAUGUGUUUACACACAGAAGAGCAUUCAGAUGUCCACUUGUGCCAUUUCCCCCCUUCCCUGCUUUUCUUAAGUAUCUUUUCAUUGCAAUCUAUUAG
This is a long non-coding RNA of Zonotrichia leucophrys gambelii, 816 nucleotides long. RefSeq lists it as uncharacterized. The transcript is spliced from 4 exons. The record is from RefSeq and is a predicted model, not a curated record. NCBI's taxonomy places the organism in Eukaryota, Metazoa, Chordata, Aves, Passeriformes, Passerellidae.